Molecule: ribosomal RNA, 406 nt
Filed under: uncultured bacterium
Lineage: Bacteria
Description: bacterial SSU rRNA
Rfam family: Bacterial small subunit ribosomal RNA
Source: RNAcentral
UGGGGAAUCUUGCGCAAUGGGCGAAAGCCUGACGCAGCGACGCCGCGUGUGGGAUGACGGCCUUCGGGUUGUAAACCACUGUCGGGAGGGACGAAGCUCUGACGGUACCUCCAAAGGAAGCACCGGCUAACUCUGUGCCAGCAGCCGCGGUAAUACAGAGGGUGCGAGCGUUGUCCGGAAUCACUGGGCGUAAAGGGCGCGUAGGCGGCCUGAUAAGUCGGGGGUGAAAUCCUGUGGCUCAACCACAGGGCUGCCUCCGAGACUGUCGGGCUCGAGCACAGUAGAGGCAGGUGGAAUUCCCGGUGUAGCGGUGGAAUGCGUAGAGAUCGGGAAGAACAUCGGUGGCGAAGGCGGCCUGCUGGGCUGUUGCUGACGCUGAGGCGCGACAGCGUGGGGAGCAAACAGG